GCUCCAAUAGCGUAUAUUAAAGUUGUUGCGGUUAAAAAGCUCGUAGUUGGAUUUCUGCAUAGAAGAAGCGGUCCACCUUUGGGUGAGUUACUGCUACCUUUUGUGCAUCUUUCUGAGAAGGCGUUCUUCUCUUCAUUGAGAGGCCGCAUGACUCAGAACGUUUACUUUGAGGAAAUGAGAGUGUUUCAAGCAGGCAAAUG
RNAcentral lists this ribosomal RNA (200 nucleotides) under uncultured eukaryote. RNAcentral describes it as "partial 18S ribosomal RNA". It matches the Rfam family "Eukaryotic small subunit ribosomal RNA", at positions 588 to 790 of the family's 1831-position model. The record is from RNAcentral.